This 460-nucleotide ribosomal RNA is filed under the name uncultured bacterium. Its description in RNAcentral is "partial 16S ribosomal RNA". It matches the Rfam family "Bacterial small subunit ribosomal RNA", at positions 338 to 795 of the family's 1533-position model. The record is from RNAcentral.
CCUACGGGGGGCAGCAGUGAGGAAUAUUGGUCAAUGGGCUUACGCCUGAACCACCCAAGUCGCGUGAGGGAAGACUGCCCUAUGGGUUGUAAACCUCUUUUGUCAGGGAGCAACGCCGGCUACGUGUAGCCGGACUGAGAGUACCUGAAGAAAAAGCAUCGGCUAACUCCGUGCCAGCAGCCGCGGUAAUACGGAGGAUGCGAGCGUUAUCCGGAUUUAUUGGGUUUAAAGGGUGCGUAGGCGGAAUGCCAAGUCAGCGGUAAAAUCGCGGGGCUCAACCUCGCUCCGCCGUUGAAACUGGCGUUCUUGAGGGGGCGAGAAGUAUGCGGAAUGCGUGGUGUAGCGGUGAAAUGCAUAGAUAUCACGCAGAACUCCGAUUGCGAAGGCAGCAUACCGGCGCUCAACUGACGCUGAGGCACGAAAGCGUGGGGAUCGAACAGGAUUAGAUACCCCGGUAGUC